GUCAUUUGAAUCUCUCUCUCUCUCUCUCUCUCUCUCUCUCUCUCUCUCUGUGUGUGUGUGUGUGUGUGUGUGAGAGAGAGAGAGAGAGAGAGAGAGAGAUAGAGAGAGAGAGAGAGAUAGAUGCU
RNAcentral lists this microRNA precursor (125 nucleotides) under Podarcis lilfordi (Lilford's wall lizard). Lineage: Eukaryota; Metazoa; Chordata; Lepidosauria; Squamata; Lacertidae. The record is from RNAcentral.